GACGAACGCUGGCGGCGUGCUUAACACAUGCAAGUCGAACGGAAAGGCCCCUUUGGGGGUACUCGAGUGGCGAACGGGUGAGUAACACGCGAGUAAGCUGCCCUUGACUUCGGGAUAACUGCAGGAAACUGGGGCUAAUACCGGAGAGGAAUCCUUGCUGCAUGGUGGGGGGGGGAAAGCUUCGGCGGUUUUGGUUGGACUCGCGGCUUAUCAGCUUGCUGGUGGGGUAGUGGCUUACCAAGGCAUUGUCGGGUAGCCGGGCUGGGUGGGCGACCGGCCACAUUGGGACUGGGAUACGGCCCAGGCUCCUACGGGAGGGAGCAGUGGGGGAUAUUGCACAAUGGGCGGGAGCCUGAUGCAGCCACGCCGCGUGCGGGAUGACGGCCUUCGGGUUGUAAACCGCUUUCAGCAGGGGCGAAGCUUGUGGUGACGGUACCUGCAGAAGAAGCACCGGCUAACUACGUG
This 465-nucleotide ribosomal RNA is filed under the name uncultured bacterium. RNAcentral's name for it is "partial 16S ribosomal RNA". It matches the Rfam family "Bacterial small subunit ribosomal RNA", at positions 28 to 507 of the family's 1533-position model. The record is from RNAcentral.